CAGCCGCCACGGGAAUACGUAGGGUGCGAGCGUUAAUCGGAAUUACUGGGCGUAAAGCGUGCGCAGGCGGUUGUGUAAGACAGGUGUGAAAUCCCCGGGCUUAACCUGGGAACUGCGCUUGUGACUGCACAGCUAGAGUAUGGCAGAGGGGGGUGGAAUUCCACGUGUAGCAGUGAAAUGCGUAGAGAUGUGGAGGAGCACCGAUGGCGAAGGCAGCCCCCUGGGCCAAUACUGACGCUCAUGCACGAAAGCGUGGGGAGCGAACAGGAUUAGAGACCCCUGUAGUCCCUGUCUCUUAUAC
This 301-nucleotide ribosomal RNA is filed under the name uncultured bacterium. Its description in RNAcentral is "partial 16S ribosomal RNA". It matches the Rfam family "Bacterial small subunit ribosomal RNA", at positions 509 to 807 of the family's 1533-position model. The record is from RNAcentral.